RNAcentral lists this ribosomal RNA (252 nucleotides) under uncultured bacterium. RNAcentral's name for it is "partial 16S ribosomal RNA". It matches the Rfam family "Bacterial small subunit ribosomal RNA", at positions 524 to 776 of the family's 1533-position model. The record is from RNAcentral.
UACGUAGGUCCCGAGCGUUGUCCGGAUUUAUUGGGCGUAAAGCGAGCGCAGGUGGUUUAUUAAGUCUGGUGUAAAAGGCAGUGGCUCAACCAUUGUAUGCAUUGGAAACUGGUAGACUUGAGUGCAGGAGAGGAGAGUGGAAUUCCAUGUGUAGCGGUGAAAUGCGUAGAUAUAUGGAGGAGCACCGGUGGCGAAAGCGGCUCUCUGGCCUGUAACUGACACUGAGGCACGAAAGCGUGGGGAGCAAAUAGG